This 385-nucleotide ribosomal RNA is filed under the name uncultured bacterium. RNAcentral's name for it is "bacterial SSU rRNA". It matches the Rfam family "Bacterial small subunit ribosomal RNA", at positions 126 to 543 of the family's 1533-position model. The record is from RNAcentral.
GUGUCCAGGGGUGGGGGAUAACGCCGGGAAACUGGCGCUAAUACCGCAUAUGAGCUGAGGCUCAAAGCAGCGAUGCGCCUUUGGAGUUACCUGCGUCCGAUUAGCUAGUUGGUGGGGUAAAGGCCUACCAAGGCGACGAUCGGUAGCUGGUCUGAGAGGACGACCAGCCACACUGGGACUGAGACACGGCCCAGACUCCUACGGGAGGCAGCAGUGGGGAAUAUUGGACAAUGGGCGCAAGCCUGAUCCAGCAAUGCCGCGUGGGUGAAGAAGGUCUUCGGAUCGUAAAGCCCUUUCGGCGGGGACGAUGAUGACGGUACCCGCAGAAGAAGCCCCGGCUAACUUCGUGCCAGCAGCCGCGGUAAUACGAAGGGGGCUAGCGUUA